Ochotona princeps (American pika) is the source of this 107-nucleotide small nuclear RNA. NCBI's taxonomy places the organism in Eukaryota, Metazoa, Chordata, Mammalia, Lagomorpha, Ochotonidae. The record is from Ensembl.
AUGCUUGCUUCGGCAGCACGUAAACUAACAUUGGAAGGAUACAAAGAAGAUUAGCAUCGCCCCUGUGCAAGGGUGACAUGCAAAUUCGUGAUGUGUUCCUUAUGUUU